ACGAACGCUGGCGGCGUGCUUAACACAUGCAAGUCGAACGGUGAAGCGCCUUCCUUUUUGGUGGGUGUGGAUGAGUGGCGAACGGGUGAGUAACACGUGAGUAACCUGCCCCCUUCUUCUGGAUAACCGCAUGAAAGUGUGGCUAAUACGGGAUAUUCUGGGUCUGUCGCAUGAUGGGUCUGGGAAAGAUAUUGUUUCGGUGGGGGAUGGGCUCGCGGCCUAUCAGCUUGUUGGUGGGGUGAUGGCCUACCAAGGCGGUGACGGGUAGCCGGCCUGAGAGGGUGGACGGUCACACUGGGACUGAGACACGGCCCAGACUCCUACGAGAGGCAGCAGUGGGGAAUAUUGCACAAUGGGCGCAAGCCUGAUGCAGCGACGCCGCGUGAGGGAUGGAGGCCUUCGGGUUGUGAACCUCUUUCGCCAGUGAAGCAGGCCUGCCUCGUUUGUGGGUGGGUUGACGGUAGCUGGAGAAGAAGCGCCGGCUAACUACGUG
RNAcentral lists this ribosomal RNA (493 nucleotides) under uncultured bacterium. Its description in RNAcentral is "partial 16S ribosomal RNA". It matches the Rfam family "Bacterial small subunit ribosomal RNA", at positions 29 to 507 of the family's 1533-position model. The record is from RNAcentral.